CCAACGCUGAGUGACGCGAACAGCCCGC
RNAcentral lists this small RNA (28 nucleotides) under Bombyx mori (domestic silkworm). Its description in RNAcentral is "ovarian small RNA-13461". Lineage: Eukaryota; Metazoa; Arthropoda; Insecta; Lepidoptera; Bombycidae. The record is from RNAcentral.